RNAcentral lists this ribosomal RNA (357 nucleotides) under Triticum aestivum (bread wheat). RNAcentral describes it as "partial small subunit ribosomal RNA". Lineage: Eukaryota; Viridiplantae; Streptophyta; Magnoliopsida; Poales; Poaceae. The record is from RNAcentral.
AUGGCAGCCGCCAGCGACAAACGCCGGAAGGAUGUAGCCGAACUCGAGCACGAACUCGAGCACCACGGCGACAUACGCCUCCUCCCAACGUCAACCGCACGCUCGUACGCGCGCCCGCGGCCCCGACGCGCCCGACGCGUCCAGUGCGCACCCAUAACACGCACCGGUCGCGCCCGGCUCGCCGCCGCAUCUUACUGCCCUGCACCGCCGCGGCCUCCAUGCCGCCGCAGCCACAGCACCGCCCACCUUCAUAGGCCGACACACGGCCCGGAGCUCCAUCGCGCAGCCGCCGGCGAGCGCCGCCAUCGCUGCCAUGCCUCCGGGACGGCAAGCACGCCCAAGACACCAAGCUCAUGA